Molecule: long non-coding RNA, 566 nt
Filed under: Mytilus galloprovincialis (Mediterranean mussel)
Lineage: Eukaryota; Metazoa; Mollusca; Bivalvia; Mytilida; Mytilidae
Source: RNAcentral
GUGGAAUUUUAGAGCGUUAUAAUAUUCAUGAUGAAAACGUACAAUUUUGCGAAAUAAAAGACACUAUUUGUCAUUCUGUUUUAAAUGAACAUAUUUCCAAAUGGCAUGAAGAUUUAAACAGAAUUGCCGCUGUUAGAGGAAACGGACAAAACAAGCUACGAAUCUACAGACAGUUCAAAAACACUUUUGAGACUGAGUCAUACCUUAAAGUGAACAUGCCAACAUCGUACAGAAGUGCUUACGCCAAGUUUAGGUGUGGAGUAGCGCCAAUCCGCGUCGAGACCGGGAGAUACGAGAACCUAAGAUUGCUAGAACGAACUUGCUUUUGCUGUCCUGAUUCCAUUGAAAACGAAGAACAUGUACUUUUAUUUUGCCCACUGUAUGAUGAUAUUAGGGACAGUUGUUUUAAUACUUUAAAUAUUGAUGGUUUUGAUAAUUUUUCUAGUCAAGAUAAGCUAUCUGUGAUUCUAGGUGGUGUAAACAAUAUACGUUUGUGUGCCAAAACCUGCAGAGACAUUUUAGAUAGGAGACGUAGAUUUUUAUAUACAUGUAGAUAGUUUUGUAUU